AGGUUGAUAGGCUUUGAGUGUAAGUGCAGCAAUGCAUUCAGCUGAGAAGUACUAAUCGGUCGAGGCCUUGAACUG
This 75-nucleotide ribosomal RNA is filed under the name Clostridiales bacterium COT073_COT-073. RNAcentral describes it as "partial 23S ribosomal RNA". Lineage: Bacteria; Bacillati; Bacillota; Clostridia; Eubacteriales. The record is from RNAcentral.